GGGGACGAGUGGGUUCGACAGGGAAGGUCGAGCCCGGACAGCAGGCCGAGGUCGCCACCGACCUCGUUAAACAGGUGGCGAAAAAGUAACUGGCGAGCGCGAACUCGCUCUGGCCGCCUAGUCUGUAGGCGGCCACGUCGCCCUGGCCUCUCCCCUGCGGGCUGGGAGCGGCGCCAGAGAGCAGGGGUGCAGCCCUCCCGACGCCGAUAGGGAGAGCCCAAGAGACAUCGGCUGGCCCGUCGGUACGCUGCUGGCGGCGGUACGGCGGGCGAGAUGCAAGCGCCAGCUAAGCCUGUAGUCGGUCCGGGGAGGUCUUCGCCUGGACGAGGGGUUCGACUCCCCUCCGUCUCCACCA
RNAcentral lists this transfer-messenger RNA (355 nucleotides) under Dehalococcoidia. RNAcentral's name for it is "HRBIN24 sp002898615 Standard tmRNA". It matches the Rfam family "transfer-messenger RNA". Rfam says of the family: Bacterial tmRNA, also known as 10Sa RNA or SsrA, is named for its dual tRNA and mRNA-like properties. Lineage: Bacteria; Bacillati; Chloroflexota. RNAcentral also lists the same sequence under 2 other names. The record is from RNAcentral.